RNAcentral lists this long non-coding RNA (1134 nucleotides) under Capra hircus (goat). RNAcentral describes it as "lncRNA (ENSCHIG00000000751.1)". Lineage: Eukaryota; Metazoa; Chordata; Mammalia; Artiodactyla; Bovidae. The record is from RNAcentral.
AUGUCCAUUUGUAAAAACAGAGACACUAAUAAGCCCGAUGUGAAAGGCACAAUUGCCGAGAUUUCUAGCUGUAUUUUGGGUCUUGGAGGGACAUCCUUUGCUCUCAGAAGCUUAGUACGGACUGGGGUAUUUUUACCUACAGAAUACAAAGUGGCUUUUCAUCUUGUUGCUUUUCUCCAGCCAUCAGAGGAAGCUGUGGCCAAACAGUGUGCAUCACUGGGGAGAAAAAGCCAUCUCUGUUGACUUCAAUUUGAGGAAAUGUCAUUCAGAUUUGGCCAACAUCUCAUCAAGCCCUCCGUGGUGUUUCUCAAAACAGAACUGUCCUUUGCCUUGGUGAACAGGAAGCCUGUGGUACCUGGACGUAUCCUUUUUUUUUUUUAAGAGAGAAAACAGACCAAAUGAACACAGCCAUUAACCUCUAGUAUUCGACCAAAAAGGUAAGCAAGGAAUCCUCCUGUCUCCCCCUUUGGAGAAACCAGGUAGGACAAUAUUCACAUUUAUUCUGAAUCCAGUUGGUGGCACCAGUAAUAUGCUUGAUCAGUGCUGCAGAACUUCUGAAAAGGAGUUGCUUAGCAACUGUGGCUUUGGAGGUGAGUUUUUGCAUGACCUUUUCACUGUUGUGGCUGUGUAAAUAAAUAGGUGCUUCUAAAAUGGAUCCAAUGAAUAUCCUUAGCACUUUGUUUUCAGGUGUCAAGUGUGCACUUUAAUAGUAAGAUAAGAGAUUGGGUGAUGCACUUGUGUUGUGGAAGUAAGGUGUUACAUGAAGAUUUGAGACUGGCUUGGUUUCUUUACCUCUUGGAGAUCAUUCAAGCUGUGAAUUUUAAUUGCACUCAAACACAUAAAUAUACUACAAAAUAUAUAUAUAUAUUUUAUGUUAGAGUCUGAGAUAGCAUUUUCUCUUGGAAAACAUCCCAGCUCCUAGAUCAUUGUCUGGUGCCAUUGGUGGUGUGGGGUAUUUUAUUUCCCUCUGACCAUCGAUUUCAGUAGAAGCUUUAUUCUUUGCGGUGGGAGAGGGAGAAUUUGGUGAAAUGCCCUGGAGAGUUGUUUUUAUGUUGUUGAAAGUAUCACUCGUGACUGUAUGUGGAUGACAUUUGUACUAACUCUUCAAAAAUUUUAUUCCCCCCCACCCACCCC